RNAcentral lists this ribosomal RNA (319 nucleotides) under uncultured bacterium. Its description in RNAcentral is "bacterial SSU rRNA". It matches the Rfam family "Bacterial small subunit ribosomal RNA", at positions 1214 to 1528 of the family's 1533-position model. The record is from RNAcentral.
GUACACACGUAUUACAAUGGUAGGGACACAGUGCAGAGAACUUUCGAAAGUAAGUGAAUCUCUGCAAACCAUACGUCACUUCUGAUAGCAGGCUGCAAAUCUCGUGCACGAAAGAGGAAUAUCUAGUAAUAUCAGGUCAGCAUAUUGCGGUGAAUCUGUUUUCGGGCCUUGUACACACCGCCCGUCUCACCACGGAAGAGGUCCACGCCCCGAAGUGCGUUACCCCAACCCUUAUGGAGGGGGAUGCCGAAGGCAGGGUUAGUGACUGGGGUGAAGUCGUAACAAGGUAGCCGUACCGGAAGGUGUGGCUGGAUCACCU